This 469-nucleotide long non-coding RNA is filed under the name Capra hircus (goat). RNAcentral describes it as "lncRNA (ENSCHIG00000007670.1)". The record is from RNAcentral. Lineage: Eukaryota; Metazoa; Chordata; Mammalia; Artiodactyla; Bovidae.
CUUUAACUAGAAGCGAGCAAGUGACUCUCUGCUUGUUUGUGUCUCCUCCUCCCAGCCUCAGUGGGAACCAGCAAACUCUUGCUGAGGGAGCACUGGAGAGAGAGUCUGCUAAGCUUUGAAGAGGUGGCCAGGAUAAAACAGCUCCCUGUGGACGCUACCCAUCUGGAAAAAGACCGAAACUGGAAACACUGUUGGGAAGACGGGCAUCCAAGGUGUCCUAGCUGCUCUGGGAUACAUUCUGACCCAGAAAUCAAGUGUGAGUACUUCAACAAACAAUAUGCAAAUCCCAAAGCAGGAGAGAAUGCUGAAAAUUAUAUGCAUCAUUCACCAAGCUGCACACACAUUUAUGUCACCUGAACAGUAUGUGUAUAUAUGAGUGUUUAAUCCAGAGCACUUUAACAAUUAUCCUAUUUAUUCCAUUGCAUCAAAACACUGAUUUCUUUACAACUAACUGAAAGAAAUGAAAGGC